GCUGGCGGAGUGCUUAAUACAUGCAAGUCGUGCGAGAAAGUUUUCUUCGGAGAACGAGUAGAGCAGCGAACGGGUGAGUAACACGUAAAUAACCUGCCCUUAAGUUUGGGACAACCUUGCUAACGCGAGGCUAAUACCGGAUGUGAACAUUUCAACUCAUGUUGUUUUGUUUAAAGGUCCUUCGGGAUUGCUUAGGGAUGGAUUUGCGGACCAUUAGUUAGUUGGUAGGGUAACGGCCUACCAAGACGAUGAUGGUUAGCCGACCUGAGAGGGUGAUCGGCCACAUUGGGACUGAGACACGGCCCAGACUCCUACGGGAGGCAGCAGUAGGGAAUCUUGCGCAAUGGACGAAAGUCUGACGCAGCAACUCCGCGUGGAGGAUGACGGUCUUCGGAUUGUAAACUCCUUUUAUUUGGGAAGAACAUGUUUAUGGUAACAUAAAUACUGACGGUACCAUUUGAAUAAGCCACGGCUAAAUACGUGCCAGCAGCCGCGGUAAU
Molecule: ribosomal RNA, 500 nt
Filed under: uncultured bacterium
Lineage: Bacteria
Description: bacterial SSU rRNA
Rfam family: Bacterial small subunit ribosomal RNA
Source: RNAcentral